AGAGUUUGAUCAUGGCUCAGAUUGAACGCUGGCGGCAGGCCUAACACAUGCAAGUCGAGCGGUAGCACAGAGAGCUUGCUCUCGGGUGACGAGCGGCGGACGGGUGAGUAAUGUCUGGGAAACUGCCUGAUGGAGGGGGAUAACUACUGGAAACGGUAGCUAAUACCGCAUAACGUCGCAAGACCAAAGUGGGGGACCUUCGGGCCUCAUGCCAUCAGAUGUGCCCAGAUGGGAUUAGCUAGUAGGUGGGGUAACGGCUCACCUAGGCGACGAUCCCUAGCUGGUCUGAGAGGAUGACCAGCCACACUGGAACUGAGACACGGUCCAGACUCCUACGGGAGGCAGCAGUGGGGAAUAUUGCACAAUGGGCGCAAGCCUGAUGCAGCCAUGCCGCGUGUGUGAAGAAGGCCUUCGGGUUGUAAAGCACUUUCAGUGGGGGAGGAAGGCGUUAAGGUUAAUAACCUUGGCGAUUGACGUUACCCGCAGAAGAAGCACCGGCUAACUCCGUGCCAGCAGCCGCGGUAAUACGGAGGGUGCAAGCGUUAAUCGGAAUUACUGGGCGUAAAGCGCACGCAGGCGGUCUGUCAAGUCGGAUGUGAAAUCCCCGGGCUUAACCUGGGAACUGCAUUCGAAACUGGCAGGCUAGAGUCUUGUAGAGGGGGGUAGAAUUCCAGGUGUAGCGGUGAAAUGCGUAGAGAUCUGGAGGAAUACCGGUGGCGAAGGCGGCCCCCUGGACAAAGACUGACGCUCAGGUGCGAAAGCGUGGGGAGCAAACAGGAUUAGAUACCCUGGUAGUCCACGCCGUAAACGAUGUCGAUUUGGAGGUUGUGCCCUUGAGGGCGUGGCUUCCGGAGCUAACGCGUUAAAUCGACCGCCUGGGGAGUACGGCCGCAAGGUUAAAACUCAAAUGAAUUGACGGGGGGCCCGCACAAGCGGUGGAGCAUGUGGUUUAAUUCGAUGCAACGCGAAGAACCUUACCUGGUCUUGACAUCCACAGAACUUUCCAGAGAUGGAUUGGUGCCUUCGGGAACUGUGAGACAGGUGCUGCAUGGCUGUCGUCAGCUCGUGUUGUGAAAUGUUGGGUUAAGUCCCGCAACGAGCGCAACCCUUAUCCUUUGUUGCCAGCGGUCCGGCCGGGAACUCAAAGGAGACUGCCAGUGAUAAACUGGAGGAAGGUGGGGAUGACGUCAAGUCAUCAUGGCCCUUACGACCAGGGCUACACACGUGCUACAAUGGCAUAUACAAAGAGAAGCGACCUCGCGAGAGCAAGCGGACCUCAUAAAGUAUGUCGUAGUCCGGAUUGGAGUCUGCAACUCGACUCCAUGAAGUCGGAAUCGCUAGUAAUCGUAGAUCAGAAUGCUACGGUGAAUACGUUCCCGGGCCUUGUACACACCGCCCGUCACACCAUGGGAGUGGGUUGCAAAAGAAGUAGGUAGCUUAACCUUCGGGAGGGCGCUUACCACUUUGUGAUUCAUGACUGGGGUGAAGUCGUAACAAGGUAACCGUAGGGGAACCUGCGGUUGGAUCACCU
This 1531-nucleotide ribosomal RNA is filed under the name Klebsiella pneumoniae subsp. ozaenae. RNAcentral's name for it is "bacterial SSU rRNA". It matches the Rfam family "Bacterial small subunit ribosomal RNA". The record is from RNAcentral. Lineage: Bacteria; Pseudomonadati; Pseudomonadota; Gammaproteobacteria; Enterobacterales; Enterobacteriaceae.